GACGAACGUUGGCGGCGUGCUUAACACAUGCAAGUCGAACGGAAAGGCCCUGCUUUUGUGGGGUGCUCGAGUGGCGAACGGGUGAGUAACACGUGAGUAACCUGCCCUUGACUUUGGGAUAACUUCAGGAAACUGGGGCUAAUACCGGAUAGGAGCUCCUGCUGCAUGGUGGGGGUUGGAAAGUUUCGGCGGUUGGGGAUGGACUCGCGGCUUAUCAGCUUGUUGGUGGGGUAGUGGCUUACCAAGGCUUUGACGGGUAGCCGGCCUGAGAGGGUGACCGGCCACAUUGGGACUGAGAUACGGCCCAGACUCCUACGGGAGGCAGCAGUGGGGAAUAUUGCACAAUGGGCGGAAGCCUGAUGCAGCAACGCCGCGUGCGGGAUGACGGCCUUCGGGUUGUAAACCGCUUUCGCCUGUGACGAAGCGUGAGUGACGGUAAUGGGUAAAGAAGCACCGGCUAACUACGUGCCAGCAGCCGCGGUGAUACGUAGGGUGCGAGCGUUGUCCGGAUUUAUUGGGCGUAAAGGGCUCGUAGGUGGUUGAUCGCGUCGGAAGUGUAAUCUUGGGGCUUAACCCUGAGCGUGCUUUCGAUACGGGUUGACUUGAGGAAGGUAGGGGAGAAUGGAAUUCCUGGUGGAGCGGUGGAAUGCGCAGAUAUCAGGAGGAACACCAGUGGCGAAGGCGGUUCUCUGGGCCUUUCCUGACGCUGAGGAGCGAAAGCGUGGGGAGCGAACAGGCUUAGAUACCCUGGUAGUCCACGCUGUAAACGGUGGGUACUAGGUGUGGGGUCCAUUCCACGGGUUCCGUGCCGUAGCUAACGCUUUAAGUACCCCGCCUGGGGAGUACGGCCGCAAGGCUAAAACUCAAAGGAAUUGACGGGGCCCCGCACAAGCGGCGGAGCAUGCGGAUUAAUUCGAUGCAACGCGUAGAACCUUACCUGGGUUUGACAUGGAUCGGGAGUGCUCAGAGAUGGGUGUGCCUCUUUUGGGGUCGGUUCACAGGUGGUGCAUGGCUGUCGUCAGCUCGUGUCGUGAGAUGUUGGGUUAAGUCCCGCAACGAGCGCAACCCUUGUUCACUGUUGCCAGCACGUUAUGGUGGGGACUCAGUGGAGACCGCCGGGGUCAACUCGGAGGAAGGUGGGGAUGACGUCAAGUCAUCAUGCCCCUUAUGUCCAGGGCUUCACGCAUGCUACAAUGGCUGGUACAGAGAGUGGCGAGCCUGUGAGGGUGAGCGAAUCUCGGAAAGCCGGUCUCAGUUCGGAUUGGGGUCUGCAACUCGACCUCAUGGAGUCGGAGUCGCUAGUAAUCGCAGAUCAGCAACGCUGCGGUGAAUACGUUCCCGGGGCU
RNAcentral lists this ribosomal RNA (1346 nucleotides) under uncultured bacterium. Its description in RNAcentral is "partial 16S ribosomal RNA". It matches the Rfam family "Bacterial small subunit ribosomal RNA", at positions 28 to 1381 of the family's 1533-position model. The record is from RNAcentral.